This 420-nucleotide ribosomal RNA is filed under the name uncultured Smithella sp. Its description in RNAcentral is "bacterial SSU rRNA". It matches the Rfam family "Bacterial small subunit ribosomal RNA", at positions 962 to 1382 of the family's 1533-position model. Lineage: Bacteria; Pseudomonadati; Thermodesulfobacteriota; Syntrophia; Syntrophales; Smithellaceae. The record is from RNAcentral.
CGAAGAACCUUACCUAGACUUGACAUCCCGGGAAUCCUUAGGAAUAAGGAGUGCCUUUCGGGGAGCCCGGAGACAGGUGCUGCAUGGCUGUCGUCAGCUCGUGUCGUGAGAUGUUGGUUAAGUCCGCAACGAGCGCAACCCCUAUCUUUAAUUGCCAUCAUUCAGUUUGGGCACUUUAGAGAGACUGCCGGUGUUAAGCCGGAGGAAGGUGGGAUGACGUCAAGUCCUCAUGGCCUUUAUGUCUAGGGCUACACACGUGCUACAAUGGGUGGUACAAAGAGCAGCUAACUCGCGAGAGUAUGCAAAUCUCAAAAAGCCAUCCUCAGUUCGGAUUGGAGUCUGCAACUCGACUCCAUGAAGUUGGAAUCGCUAGUAAUCGCGGAUCAGCAUGCCGCGGUGAAUUACCGGUUCCCGGGCCUU